CAUGCAGCAUAGCUAUAUAUAUAUACAUACAUACAAACAUAAUUUGUAACAUAGGUUCGCAUGUAAGCAAAUCCUCUUAAGUUUGUGUAAGUGAAUCUUAGAAGUCGUUAUUUUGACAUAAUAAAAAAAAUUGUAAUAAAUGAGAUUAUGGCUAACUUUAUUUUUAUUUUUUGUUAUAAUUUUUUUUUUAUCUGAAAGAAAAAAAAGCAUGUUCUGUUUAACAUGUAAUAACGCUAUUAUUGUUAAUUACGUAUUAAAUUCAAGAUUAAAUAAAAUUAUUAAAAAAGAACAAAAUUAUUUUAUAAAUAAUAAUUAUAUUAUAACAAGUGCAAGAAAAAAACAGUUAUCGAAAAAUAUAAAAAAAACGCUGUUUUGGGGCGAAUACAAAAAUUCAAUCUGGGGAAAAAUAAAAACCAACACAUGGAGACAAAAGAAACCACUUUUUUUCUUAAGUUGCAAAAUUAAAAAUAUAAUUAAUAUAUCAAAAUUUUGUUUUAUCUUUAUUAACACUCAUUUACGUAAAAAAAACAAAUCAUACAUUUUUUCAAAAAUGAAUAGUAACAUAGCACAAGUACAGAAAAAAAAAAAAGAUGGUAUAUCAUCCAUAGAUACUUAUUUAGAAGAGAAAGAAAAGAAAAAAGAGUCGAUGUAUAAUAAAGAAAUGUUUUUAAAAAUUGAAAACGAAACAAAUGAUAACUUAGCUAAGUCAACAACAGAAGAUAACAAUUUCUUAAAUAAUAACUCAUGUAUAAAGGAAAAUGAAAUGAAUAAGACCUCUGUAAAUAUGUUAAAAAAAAGAAAAAAAAAAUUAAAUUCUUUUCAACAAUUUGAAGAAUGUAACAAUGAUGCAAAUGUAUUAGCAAACAAAAUUAAUGUUGGUUCUAAAGUUAGCACAACCUGUGACGAGGAAAUAGAAAUAAAUAUACAAAAAAAAACAAAUGACUUGGACAUAUCGCAAAGACAUAAUAAUAAUAGUAGUAGUAAUAAUAGUAGUAGUAAUAAUAGUAGUAGUAAUAAUAGUAGUAGUAAUAAUAACAAUACUGAUGGCACCGUUAAAGUAAGUAGUAACAGCAAUGAUAAUAACGCUUGUAAAUUUUUAACCGUUGCUGAACUAGAAAAAAUAAAAAGAGAGUCUAAUUAUAUGGCUAUAAACGAAACAGAGCAAAACGAAUAUAAUAUAGAAUUACAUUUUAAUUAUAAAGAUUUAAACUUUUUAAGAAAAAAAGAAGAGACGAUAAAUGCUUUAGUAAACAGACUGGAAUUGAAUUUAAAAAAAAUGGAGCAAAAGAAGAAUAAAAAGGAGAGAAAAAAAAAAGGUGACAAGGUUUCAGCUGAUACUGAAACUACUGCUACUACUACUACUACUACUACUACUACUACUACUACUACCAGUAGCUCUAAUAAUAGUUCGACGAUAGCCGAAGGACUCAAAAAAUGUGCCUCUCAAAAUACCUCUCAAAAUACCUCUCAAAAUACCUCUCAAUUACCUGUACAAUUCUUCGACAGUGAUAACAAUAUGAUUGGAGGAAAUCAGAUAUUAGGAGAUGUAAUGGAUAAAUUAAAUUAUGUGAUUAUUGAUAAAAUUAAAAUAUAUAUAUUAAAAAAUUUAUAUGACAUUAAACGAAUACAUGUUUCUAUGGAUAUAUUCGUAAAUCACCCUGUUGUACCUAUCAACAUACCCAUCAACGAACUUAACGAUUUUGUUUAUUAUUGGGUUUCUUCUAAUGAUAAGAAUAAGAUAAAAUCAUUCGAUUUAUGUUAUAUACCAAAUAAAAAUGAUGUUUUGAAACCUAUCCAGUUUGUCAUAUAUUAUAAAAAAGCACCUUUUUUUUUUUAUAUAACAGAACAAAUGUAUGUUAAGUCAGAUGAAUUCGAAGAGGAGUUGACAAUAAAAAAUAAAAGGUAUUUAGAAUUUAAUAAGAUUAUUGAAAGUGAUAGUAACAAUAGCUGCUGUAAUGGUACCAGUAACUGUAAUAACACUAUCCGUAUUAUGUCUUAUAAUAUACUUGCACCUGUAUACACAAACACAAAAUAUGCAAUGGAAUAUAUGUUUAAAAAUGUAAAUGACGACUACUUAAAAACAAACUAUAGGUCGCAUUUAUUUAUAAAUGAUAUAAAUAAUAAUUUUGAUAUAAUAUGCUUACAAGAAGUUAGUGAAUAUUUACAUUCUAAUUUAUUUUCUGUAUUUUUACAUUCAAAUUAUUAUUCUUCUUAUAAAUCCAAAAAUAAUAAUGGAAGUGAUGGAUGUUCUUUAUUUGUGAAUAAAACCAAAUUUACUUUAAUCGAAAAUAAAAAUUAUGAAUUUAAUAAUGUUAUAAAACUCCCCGAGUUAAAACAUGUAUAUGAUACGUUUAAUAAAUUAUCAAGUGAAAGUGAAAAUAUAAUUAAAGAAAUAAAAACAAUUUUUCAGAUAGGUAUCUACGAAUAUGAUAAUACUGUUACGGGGGGUAAUGUGAGUGGAAACAAUGAAACUAAUGGUAAUAGCAAUAGCAACAGUAAUAGCAAUAGCAAUAGUAAUAGCAAUAGUAAUAGUAACAGUAAUAGUAACAGUAACAGUAACAAAGGCGACAACACGAAAAAUAUAUUACUCAUUGGUAAUACCCAUUUUUAUUUCCAUAGUUUAGCUACACAUAUCAGAGCAAUGC
Molecule: long non-coding RNA, 2645 nt
Filed under: Piliocolobus tephrosceles (Ugandan red Colobus)
Lineage: Eukaryota; Metazoa; Chordata; Mammalia; Primates; Cercopithecidae
Description: lncRNA (ENSPTEG00000003357.1)
Source: RNAcentral